AUUUUCUCAGAAUUCUCUGGACUGAGGCUCCAGUUCUGGCCUUUGGGGUUCAAGAUCACUGGGACCAGGCCGUGAUCUCUAUGCCCGAGUCUCAACCCUCAACUGUCACCCCAAGGCACUUGGGACGUCCUGGACAGACCGAGUCCCGGGAAGCCCCAGCACUGCCGCUGCCACACUGCCCUGAGCCCAAAUGGGGGAGUGAGAGGCCAUAGCUGUCUGGCAUGGGCCUCUCCACCGUGCCUGACCUGCUGCUGCCACUGGUGCUCCUGGAGCUGUUGGUGGGAAUAUACCCCUCAGGGGUUAUUGGACUGGUCCCUCACCUAGGGGACAGGGAGAAGAGAGAUAGUGUGUGUCCCCAAGGAAAAUAUAUCCACCCUCAAAAUAAUUCGAUUUGCUGUACCAAGUGCCACAAAGCCUAACUCUGCGGCCCCAUUCACAGGAACCUACUUGUACAAUGACUGUCCAGGCCCGGGGCAGGAUACGGACUGCAGGGAGUGUGAGAGCGGCUCCUUCACCGCUUCAGAAAACCACCUCAGACACUGCCUCAGCUGCUCCAAAUGCCGAAAGG
This 568-nucleotide long non-coding RNA is filed under the name Homo sapiens (human). Its description in RNAcentral is "non-protein coding lnc-SCNN1A-1:1". Lineage: Eukaryota; Metazoa; Chordata; Mammalia; Primates; Hominidae. The record is from RNAcentral.